Molecule: ribosomal RNA, 531 nt
Filed under: Triticum aestivum (bread wheat)
Lineage: Eukaryota; Viridiplantae; Streptophyta; Magnoliopsida; Poales; Poaceae
Description: partial small subunit ribosomal RNA
Source: RNAcentral
AUGGCCAGUGUGCAAGAAAGAAAAUACGGCCACGUAGGUACAUACGGGCGGGGUCUCGAACGCCUACUUAUGCAUACGUACGGCCAGGGCUCGUGUACAUGGCUGGAUCGGAACGGAGAAACAACGUCGUCGUCGUGUUCAUGGGGAGCCAACCGGCUGGGUCGAAACGGAAUGCGUCGUCAUGUUCAUCGGGUGGGCUUGGACGGAAUAGCUGAUGGAAACGAGGCCUGGUGUACCGCAGAACGGAGGAAACAGCCUUGUUCGACCGACCACGUUCAAAACGGGAUCCUGUUCAUCGGGAGGGGUCUGGCGUACCGCAAAAUGAAGGAAACGGACUUGUGUUGGACCUCCUACGAUCGAAACGGGGUCCUAUUGAUCGGGAGGGGUGUGGCGUACCGCAAAACGGAGGAAACGGACUUGUUUUGGAGCGCUACGGUCGAAACGGGGGUCCUGUUCAUCGGGAGGGGUGUGGCGUACCGCAAAACGGGACUCCACGGGAUACUGGUCAUCUUCACUGUCGACCCCCUCUAG